AUUGAACGCUGGCGGCAAGCCUAACACAUGCAAGUCGAACGAGUGGCGGACGGGUGAGUAAUGUCUGGGAACCUGCCUUAUGGAGGGGGAUAACUACUGGAAACGGUAGCUAAUACCGCAUACCAUCGGAUGUGCCCAGAUGGGAUUAGCUAGUAGGUGGGGGAAAGACUCACCUAGGCGACGAUCCCUAGCUGGUCUGAGAGGAUGACCAGCCACACUGGAAAUGAGACACGGUCCAUACUCCUAAGGGAGGCAGCAGUGGGGAAUAGUGCACAAUGGGCGCAAGCAUGAUGCAGCCGGGCCGCGUGUAUGAAGAAGGCCUUCGGGGUGUAAAGUACUUUCAGCGGGGAUGCGUUACUCGCAGAAGAAGCACCGGCUAACUCCGUGCCAGCAGCCGCGGUAAUUC
This 406-nucleotide ribosomal RNA is filed under the name uncultured bacterium. RNAcentral describes it as "partial 16S ribosomal RNA". It matches the Rfam family "Bacterial small subunit ribosomal RNA", at positions 30 to 526 of the family's 1533-position model. The record is from RNAcentral.